Molecule: transfer RNA, 114 nt
Filed under: Staphylothermus marinus F1
Lineage: Archaea; Thermoproteati; Thermoproteota; Thermoprotei; Desulfurococcales; Desulfurococcaceae
Rfam family: tRNA
About the family: Transfer RNA (tRNA) molecules are approximately 80 nucleotides in length. Their secondary structure includes four short double-helical elements and three loops (D, anti-codon, and T loops).
Source: Rfam by way of RNAcentral
GGGCCGGUAGCUCAGCCUGGAAGAGCGCCGCCCUUGCACGACCCCUAUAAUAGGGGGUCUGGCACCGGGGUCGGAGAGAGGCGGAGGUCCCGGGUUCAAAUCCCGGCCGGUCCA